Molecule: ribosomal RNA, 1708 nt
Filed under: Escherichia coli
Lineage: Bacteria; Pseudomonadati; Pseudomonadota; Gammaproteobacteria; Enterobacterales; Enterobacteriaceae
Description: partial 23S ribosomal RNA
Rfam family: Bacterial large subunit ribosomal RNA
Source: RNAcentral
AUAAUGGGUCAGCGACUUAUAUUCUGUAGCAAGGUUAACCGAAUAGGGGAGCCGAAGGGAAACCGAGUCUUAACUGGGCGUUAAGUUGCAGGGUAUAGACCCGAAACCCGGUGAUCUAGCCAUGGGCAGGUUGAAGGUUGGGUAACACUAACUGGAGGACCGAACCGACUAAUGUUGAAAAAUUAGCGGAUGACUUGUGGCUGGGGGUGAAAGGCCAAUCAAACCGGGAGAUAGCUGGUUCUCCCCGAAAGCUAUUUAGGUAGCGCCUCGUGAAUUCAUCUCCGGGGGUAGAGCACUGUUUCGGCAAGGGGGUCAUCCCGACUUACCAACCCGAUGCAAACUGCGAAUACCGGAGAAUGUUAUCACGGGAGACACACGGCGGGUGCUAACGUCCGUCGUGAAGAGGGAAACAACCCAGACCGCCAGCUAAGGUCCCAAAGUCAUGGUUAAGUGGGAAACGAUGUGGGAAGGCCCAGACAGCCAGGAUGUUGGCUUAGAAGCAGCCAUCAUUUAAAGAAAGCGUAAUAGCUCACUGGUCGAGUCGGCCUGCGCGGAAGAUGUAACGGGGCUAAACCAUGCACCGAAGCUGCGGCAGCGACGCUGAUGCGUUGUUGGGUAGGGGAGCGUUCUGUAAGCCUGCGAAGGUGUGCUGUGAGGCAUGCUGGAGGUAUCAGAAGUGCGAAUGCUGACAUAAGUAACGAUAAAGCGGGUGAAAAGCCCGCUCGCCGGAAGACCAAGGGUUCCUGUCCAACGUUAAUCGGGGCAGGGUGAGUCGACCCCUAAGGCGAGGCCGAAAGGCGUAGUCGAUGGGAAACAGGUUAAUAUUCCUGUACUUGGUGUUACUGCGAAGGGGGGACGGAGAAGGCUAUGUUGGCCGGGCGACGGUUGUCCCGGUUUAAGCGUGUAGGCUGGUUUUCCAGGCAAAUCCGGAAAAUCAAGGCUGAGGCGUGAUGACGAGGCACUACGGUGCUGAAGCAACAAAUGCCCUGCUUCCAGGAAAAGCCUCUAAGCAUCAGGUAACAUCAAAUCGUACCCCAAACCGACACAGGUGGUCAGGUAGAGAAUACCAAGGCGCUUGAGAGAACUCGGGUGAAGGAACUAGGCAAAAUGGUGCCGUAACUUCGGGAGAAGGCACGCUGAUAUGUAGGUGAAGCGACUUGCUCGUGGAGCUGAAAUCAGUCGAAGAUACCAGCUGGCUGCAACUGUUUAUUAAAAACACAGCACUGUGCAAACACGAAAGUGGACGUAUACGGUGUGACGCCUGCCCGGUGCCGGAAGGUUAAUUGAUGGGGUCAGCGCAAGCGAAGCUCUUGAUCGAAGCCCCGGUAAACGGCGGCCGUAACUAUAACGGUCCUAAGGUAGCGAAAUUCCUUGUCGGGUAAGUUCCGACCUGCACGAAUGGCGUAAUGAUGGCCAGGCUGUCUCCACCCGAGACUCAGUGAAAUUGAACUCGCUGUGAAGAUGCAGUGUACCCGCGGCAAGACGGAAAGACCCCGUGAACCUUUACUAUAGCUUGACACUGAACAUUGAGCCUUGAUGUGUAGGAUAGGUGGGAGGCUUUGAAGUGUGGACGCCAGUCUGCAUGGAGCCGACCUUGAAAUACCACCCUUUAAUGUUUGAUGUUCUAACGUGGACCCGUGAUCCGGGUUGCGGACAGUGUCUGGUGGGUAGUUUGACUGGGGCGGUCUCCUCCUAAAGAGUAACGGAG